UGAAGGUCUUCGAUAAAGGAGAAGCGUCAAAGAAAGAAACCAGAGAAAAGUAAUCAUAGGCCGGGGAAAAGGCCAACCCAGUCGCGAAGAAACAAACAUGCAAGUACUUGAGAUGGAGGAAUUUGCUUGGUACCAUUGGUGUGUUUUCAAUCUGCACAAGAGAUGCCUCAGAUUAAUUAUAUCCCAGGUACUGUUAUACUGUUAUAGGCAUACCAGUGUUCGUAAUCAUCUAAAGUUUCAGAUUGUACCUCACUAGCAACGGGUUCAAUGUUUGACUGAUACAUUCUGUUAUAGGCAUACCAGGUG
Molecule: long non-coding RNA, 306 nt
Filed under: Setaria italica (foxtail millet)
Lineage: Eukaryota; Viridiplantae; Streptophyta; Magnoliopsida; Poales; Poaceae
Description: long non-coding RNA (SITA_LNC003573)
Source: RNAcentral